RNAcentral lists this ribosomal RNA (232 nucleotides) under uncultured bacterium. RNAcentral's name for it is "partial 16S ribosomal RNA". It matches the Rfam family "Bacterial small subunit ribosomal RNA", at positions 102 to 334 of the family's 1533-position model. The record is from RNAcentral.
ACGGGUGAGUAACACGUAUCCAACCUGCCGUCUACUCUUGGACAGCCUUCUGAAAGGAAGAUUAAUACAAGAUGGCAUCAUGAGUUCACAUGUUCACAUGAUUAAAGGUAUUCCGGUAGACGAUGGGGAUGCGUUCCAUUAGAUAGUAGGCGGGGUAACGGCCCACCUAGUCAACGAUGGAUAGGGGUUCUGAGAGGAAGGUCCCCCACAUUGGAACUGAGACACGGUCCAA